Molecule: non-coding RNA, 113 nt
Filed under: Janthinobacterium agaricidamnosum
Lineage: Bacteria; Pseudomonadati; Pseudomonadota; Betaproteobacteria; Burkholderiales; Oxalobacteraceae
Also listed under: 1 other name
Description: TPP sequence
Rfam family: TPP riboswitch aptamer (THI element)
About the family: Vitamin B(1) in its active form thiamin pyrophosphate (TPP) is an essential coenzyme that is synthesised by coupling of pyrimidine and thiazole moieties in bacteria. The previously detected thiamin-regulatory element, thi box was extended, resulting in a new, highly conserved RNA secondary structure, the THI element, which is widely distributed in eubacteria and also occurs in some archaea.
Source: RNAcentral
GGCAAACGCUAGGGGUCCUGCACAUCGCUGAAAUAUCGGCGCUGCGCGGGUGAGAAAUACCCUCCGAACCUGAUCUGGAUAAUGCCAGCGAAGGGAAGCUUUAGGUCGCGCCG